UGCAUGGUGGCGUAGUUGGUAGCACUGUUGCCUUGCAGCAAGAAGGUGAAGGUCCUGGGUUCGACUCCUGGCCUGGGGUCUAUCUGCAU
Molecule: non-coding RNA, 89 nt
Organism: Characodon lateralis
Lineage: Eukaryota; Metazoa; Chordata; Actinopteri; Cyprinodontiformes; Goodeidae
Source: the annotation of a GenBank genome assembly